This 446-nucleotide ribosomal RNA is filed under the name uncultured bacterium. RNAcentral's name for it is "partial 16S ribosomal RNA". It matches the Rfam family "Bacterial small subunit ribosomal RNA", at positions 338 to 795 of the family's 1533-position model. The record is from RNAcentral.
CCUACGGGUGGCAGCAGUCGAGAAUCAUUCACAAUGGGGGAAACCCUGAUGGUGCGACGCCGCGUGGGGGAAUGAAGGUCUUCGGAUUGUAAACCCCUGUCAUGUGGGAGCAAAUUAAAAAGAUCGUACCACCAGAGGAAGAGACGGCUAACUCUGUGCCAGCAGCCGCGGUAAUACAGAGGUCUCAAGCGUUGUUCGGAAUCACUGGGCGUAAAGCGUGCGUAGGCUGUUUCGUAAGUCGGGUGUGAAAGGCGCGGGCUCAACCCGCGGACGGCACAUGAUACUGCGAGACUAGAGUAAAGGAGGGGGGACCGGAAUUCUCGGUGUAGCAGUGAAAUGCGUAGAUAUCGAGAGGAACACUCGUGGCGAAGGCGGGUUCCUGGACAGUAACUGACGCUGAGGCACGAAGGCCAGGGGAGCGAAAGGGAUUAGAUACCCUAGUAGUC